Molecule: long non-coding RNA, 527 nt
Filed under: Marmota monax (woodchuck)
Lineage: Eukaryota; Metazoa; Chordata; Mammalia; Rodentia; Sciuridae
Source: RNAcentral
CCCAUCCCAUCUGUCUGUCUGUCUGCAUUCUUGUCUUUCUUUCUGUUCUCUUUUCCCUUUUGGUCUCCAUUUCUAGGCACCGAGUAGGGAGGAUGCUUUGCUUCCCAGUCGUGCCAGCGUCUGGGCUCCUGGACUGAGAACCUGCAGCCCCGCUGCCGCCAGCAGAAGGACAGGGAGGCUCAGGUCCUCACACGGGAGGAGGGGUGAGUGUCCCAGAGCAAACCCAGGGUCUUAGAGUGGCAGCCGGCUUGACGUGAUUAGCUGAGUGACCUUGUCCGAGGGCCUUUACCUGGCUUCAGGGUCCUGGUCCAUAAUAAUUCCUCCAGGGCUGCGUGGAUCAGUAUUGAUGAGCACUGCAGCGAAAUGUCCUAUUGCACGGGUGCUCCUGGCAUGGGGGGCAGGGCUGACACCCCAAACCCACACUUACGUUGGCCUCGGACCCCGUGUCCGGCUGUGUAUCUUACUGAGUUUUUGUUUUUGUUUUUGUUUUUUGUACUGGGAUUUAACCCAAUGGCACUUUACCCCUG